Molecule: long non-coding RNA, 3475 nt
Filed under: Nicotiana tabacum (common tobacco)
Lineage: Eukaryota; Viridiplantae; Streptophyta; Magnoliopsida; Solanales; Solanaceae
Description: long non-coding RNA (NTAB_LNC013159)
Source: RNAcentral
AGGUAAAUGAGGGCGUAUUUUUAGUCUUGUUUACGGAGAAAGAAUAAAAUUUGGGCUCAAACAACCCAUUUUUUUAGGCCUAAUUUUCGGGCCUAGCCUAUAAUGACCCAAGCCCAAUACCCCUAAAAAUCCCUAAGCAUAAGAGUACCCGUAGACCUAAGACUAAUCGGUCAAGAAAAAACACAAAAAAUAGACCCUAAGAGCUAGAGAAUGGAUCCGCCGUUUUCAUCCUAAAAACCCGCCCCCCUGAAGGUUUUCUUCUUCACCAGACCCUUAAGAUCAGCGGCUGAACACAGAGGUCCCUUUCGACACACCCCAUCAGACUCAUCUUCUUCACCACAAAAAACAGAGAAGCAACAACAUCUUCUCUUCCGCCUUGAACAUCCUUCACCAGACCGGAAAAACCAGCCUCCUCUUCUCCGCAAUGCCAACCACCCAUCUGCUACACGACCACCAUGACUCCUUCUUCUUCAACCGUCGAUCUCACCUGGCUAAAACACAGCAAAGAAAACACAAAAACAGAUCAAAGAGGGACGAACUAAGGAGACAAAUACAACAACAACGUAUAAGGAAAUUCGAAGUUUGAUUUCGGAUUCAAAUCCUACUUAUUUUCAUUCCAUAGUUUCUCUUGUUCUUGUGCUUUCGAUUUUAAAAGCCAUGGAAUCCGAUGGAGUUUUGAUUGAGGUCAUUUUGGUUUCGAGCAAUGGUGUCCGCUUCUACAACGCAACAAGAGGUGGCUCUGUUGAGGCAGAAAUGGAUUGAUUUUGCCUAUACUUCUGCUAAUAGAAACGUGCUAAUUAAAUGUUGUUUGAAUGAAAUGGGAUUGGAAAGAAUUCAAAUGAGUAUCUGUUUGGUAAACAGUAAGUUUUCUGUUCAAUUUUAUAUUGUUAUUUCUUAUUUGUUUAUCAUUAGAUUAUUAGUUGCAAAAUUCGGGUAUUAUUUCGUGCAUAUAGAGCAUAUCAAGUUGUGAUUAAUUAUAUUAUCAUUGUGCAUCUGAAGGUAUGGUGUGAUAUUUUGGUUUAUAAGCUUCAUGUUUGCAUCAUGGAUAAAUGGAUGUUCAUGGAAGUUUGCUGCCGUUACGAGUAUUAAUGAUUUGUUGACCAAUGACAUGAAUAGGCUGGCUGGUAAUUUGAUUUUUUUAGAAGUUUAUUAAGUUAUGAUUUAUAAUUGAUUUGGGAUUAUUGUAGAUGAAACUAUUUCAAUAAAGUGAUUAGGAAAUGUAACCUUUAUAUAAACACGUAAUUAAAUCAUCACAAUUACGGGUAUGGUUCCCAUGGCAUGGUUGUGACACUUAAUUCAAAUUAGUUUCUUUAGUAUGAACAUCCUUAGUUGAAUGCUUUUUCGUUAAUAAAAUUGAGGUGUGCCAUCCAAUAACUUAGUCUAUGGCCCUCAUAUCGAUAUCUUAACUAGUGUAGAAAAUACCGUGAACUUUCGUAGUUUGCUUUAGGCGCAUUAAUUGAAUAAUUGUCAUAGCUACGGGUAUGGUUCCCGUGACGUAGUAGUGAUCCUUAAUCUCUAAAAUCUGGGGCUACAUUUAUGUGAUCCGGCCACAAUUUAAUCUUAUCAAUAAAAUAAACAUGUUGUGAAUCGUGGGUACGGUUCCCCUGACAUGAUUCGCAACGUGUAAUCAAAUAAUUAGUUGCAUAAUAAUUGGAUUAUUAAAAGCGGUUUAAAAGGAAUAAAAUGCACAUAGGAUCCAAAAAUAUUUUAAAAUCAGAUAAAUAGGCCAAUAAUAAUAGUUGAGCAACCGUGCUAAAACCACAGAACCCGGGAAUGCCUAACACCUUCUCCCGGGUUAACAGAAUUCCUUACCCAGAUUUUUGUGUUCGCAGACCGUAAAUAGAGUUAACUUCCUCGAUUCAGGAUUUUAACCGGUGACUUGGGACACCAUAAAUUAUCCCAAGUUGCGACUUUGAAUCUAAUAAUUAAUCCCGUUUCGAUUGUCACUUAAAUUGAAAAAACACCCUUAUACCCUUCCGGGGGUAGGAAAAAAGGAGGUGUGACAGCACUGGCGACUGUGCUAGGGAAAAGAACCCAGAACUUCUGGUUCAGGGUUCAAGAAUUCGAGCUUAGAAUAAUUGUUAUAUUUGGCUUCUAUUUAUUAUCUGAUUUUAUUUACAUGUUUGGGCCUAAUGUGCUAAAUGUUGCUCUUUAUCGCUUUGAUAUUAUCUGAACUGUAUAUAAACUGCUACGAAACCCCUCUUCUAAUCUUUGGAAAGUGCACGCUGGCGUGAAUUCUUUUCUGUUAGUGUCAUAUCCCAAUUUAGAACGAGGUUCGGACAAGUUGCAAAACCGGAUGAUCUUUUGGUUACCGGCACACUGCCCUUCCCCCAAGCUUGAGUUGUCCGCUCGGGUAAGCUAGGUCUAGAACAAUACACCCAGGUUUUAAACCUAGAAUAACUCAGCCUCUUGCCGGAUCCCUACUAGGAACGUUUGUUUGCAUUAUGUGAAUUUGACUUUGGGGAUUCAACACAGGGGUUGAGUCGGUCUAGGACAGGUACCCAAAAAAUAAAAGACCAUCCUGAUGCAUUCUAUGUACUACAUGUUGCAAUCUUCAAGGGUAAAAGGGGUCAUUUGGCGGACCACUGAUGGUUGAGGAUAAAUGAGAAAAAAGAGGGCGAAGUGUAAAAAUAAAGCAAGUAGGGCCCAAUUAUGUUUUUCUUUCACAUUUUUAAGAAAAAGAAAAAAAAUGAAAAAUCUAAAAAGAUUUUGCACUUUCUCAUCAUUUUCAAAAAAAAAUCAAAAAAAAGGAAAAGAAAAAUACAAAAAGAGUUUACAUGUUCCAUCAUUUUCUUUAAAAAAAAAGAGAUAAAAAUAUAUUUUCUCUAAAUUAGUUGUUGUUUUUUAAUUCUUGCCCGUAUCCAAUCUGCCCAAACUACACAUACCUGAUUCUCGUCUUUCGGGGCGUGAUACGUAAGGAACCCACAUAGGGUUUGGUCUUCCUAGUGAAUUUAGGUUCUUGGCUUCGCGGGGUCUUAGCCAAAUCUUGUAUUGUUAGCCACUUUUAGCCACAUAGGUUAAUUUUAGAAAAAUAGUCACAAUCAUGUCUUGCAUGUGUCCAACAGGAAGGGUUGUUAUCUCACAUAGCAUUCUAGGUCUUUAACUUUAUUUGGUCUUAAUUUUCUCGUACAGGUGUAGAUUUACUUACCGGAGUUUGAGCAUGACAGACGCCCAAGACCAUCUAGUCAGGAUCGCUCAUUCAGGAGUUUCAGAAGUGGCUUAAGGAAAUUUUUUAUAUUUUUUUAUAUUUUGAGUCUAUUUUUUUAUGUUUUUAUUUUUUAUGUCUGUUUUUCACCUUCUAGUUUUGUACAGUAAUGUCGAGUUUUUUGUUAUUGUACUUUCUAUUUUGCAUUUGAAAAAGUGUGUUAUAACUCAAAAAUCCAAAAAAAAAGAGAUUUUACAUUUUAUAUUUUCGUUAGAAGUUUUCUUUAGAAUACCAAUUCUAGAAAUAAAAAAAUAUUUGAGGUAGUUUUCC